This 484-nucleotide ribosomal RNA is filed under the name uncultured bacterium. RNAcentral describes it as "partial 16S ribosomal RNA". It matches the Rfam family "Bacterial small subunit ribosomal RNA", at positions 30 to 507 of the family's 1533-position model. The record is from RNAcentral.
AUUGAACGCUGGCGGCAGGCCUAACACAUGCAAGUCGAGCGGAUGAAGGGAGCUUGCUCGUGGAUUCAGCGGCGGACGGGUGAGUAAUGCCUAGGAAUCUGCCUGGUAGCGGGGGAUUACGUCCGGAAACGGGCGCCAAUACCGCAUACGUCCUGAGGGAGAAAGUGGGGGAUCUUCGGACCUUACGCUAUCAGAUGAGCCUAGGUCGGAUUAGCUAGUUGGUGGGGUAAAGGCCUACCAAGGCGACGAUCCGUAACUGGUCUGAGAGGAUGAUCAGUCACACUGGAACUGAGACACGGUCCAGACUCCUACGGGAGGCAGCAGUGGGGAAUAUUGGACAAUGGGCGAAAGCCUGAUCCAGCCAUGCCGCGUGUGUGAAGAAGGUCUUCGGAUUGUAAAGCACUUUUAGUUGGGAGGAAGGGCAGUAAGUUAAUACCUUGCUGUUUUGACGGUACCAACAGAAUAAGCACCGGCUAACUUCGUG